GUUUUUCAGUGAGAGGAGAAUGCUGCAGAGCAGAGAGAGUGCUUUCCAGUGGCUAGGAAAAGUUGGUGGAUUGGGGAUUCUAGAAGGAGCCUCAAAAAUUUGAGUCCUGGGCUGUCACAGUCCAGCUCUUAUGAAAGUGGCCAAACCUGGGAGGGAAUGGCUACUUGGCUCCCUACAGGCAGCAUGAAGACUCUUCAAGUGUUGCGGCUCCCGGCUUUCUGCGCGUGCCCAGCCCCACCCUGCAUUCCCGCGUGUGUUUGUGGAUGGCCCGAUUCCACGUUGGGAAGUGACGUGGGAAGUGAGAGCCCCCUGGACGCCUUCCUCCCCCUGUCCUGGGCCCGGCCGAGGGGCUCCCUGUAAGAACCUCCCUUUCCCUCUGCCCUACGCUCCUGGAGACAUUCCGACCACACCUCCUGCAUCGGGGACCUCUGCACCCUCCUGGAGCCUGUCCACCCUCCAUGGGGAGACGGCACCCUCACUGCGAGUUUCUGCCGACUGGGGGCUCUUGAGUCUAUGCCAGGGCACACUUGGAUAUACCCGCUGCUUGACGAGCCCCAGGCAUCAUUUGUUCGCGGGUGUGUGUUUCAUUCCAAGACUCUCGCUGGGUUUUGCCCGUCUUUCUGCCUUUUGCUGCUCAUCAACUUAGCACAGGAUGAGUAAACAGCCCUCAGACUGGCUCCAGCCAUUUUGUGGUUUAAAAAGGAGCUCAGAGCUGUUUGAAAAUGAGAUUGGCAGAGAAGCGUGUGGCUGUCACAUGUGUCUCCCUCCCGGCCCGGUCUGUUUAAUCACGGGCUGACCGCUGGUGCUCUGACCCCCAAAGAAGCAGAUGUCAAGGGGCUGAAUCACACGGGGGAAUUCCCAGCCCUCUGACCCUAGGCUGUGUGCUGGCCUUUCUCCCCCUUCCAUGGUCCCUAUUUCUCUCAUGCCAUCAUUAGGAGAUUGAGAAGUCUCUAAUUCCAUGGGGUGGGCUGGGUGCAGGGCCAUUAGGACAAGAGGCCCAGCUCUGGGA
RNAcentral lists this long non-coding RNA (1009 nucleotides) under Ursus maritimus (polar bear). RNAcentral's name for it is "lncRNA (ENSUMAG00000018546.1)". The record is from RNAcentral. Lineage: Eukaryota; Metazoa; Chordata; Mammalia; Carnivora; Ursidae.